Molecule: long non-coding RNA, 1128 nt
Organism: Cyprinodon variegatus (sheepshead minnow)
Lineage: Eukaryota; Metazoa; Chordata; Actinopteri; Cyprinodontiformes; Cyprinodontidae
Exons: 6
Source: RefSeq, a predicted model, not a curated record
GAAGAAGGUUCUUGCAAACGCUGCGGUCCGGUUGUUAAGCGCAGCUGUGCUUAAAUUUCAAAUAAAAAUGGGGGCUGUUGAAGAUUUUACAGAAAUCCGCCCGGAUUCCAACUUUUAUCCACAAGUUGGUGGUUAUUCUCCGAAAAGCUGCCAGCCGUGUGUGAGGAAGAAGAGCUGGUUUCGUUCAGCCAGCCACGUGGUUACAAAACGAAGAGAGACACGUUUUACUCGAAAAUCAGAUUGUCUCCCAGCAGCAGGAAUCGGCUCCCAAGGAAGAGGAAAAAGGUGUUUAUUAUUCACACUUCCUAUAUUGCGGUAAUGCAGGACGUUCCUCGUCUGUAACCCUAACCCUGCAAGCCUAGAGCCUGGAAGCAUAGAAAGAGAGACCCUGUGAAGAUUCAAAGGCUUGACUCCGAAGAUUUGAACUGGAAUUUCUUCAUCCUUAAAGAUGAUUGAAGAGGUAACAGAGGAUGACUUUUAGCAAGAAUGUGUCUUGCCAACAAAGUUUCUUUAGAACAAGUUAAAGAACUUCAAAACUGUCGCCCUGCAGGCUUCCAUCCAUAGAUAUCCUGUCCUUUUUGUGCGGGUCAUAUUACAAUGGAGGGGACCAAACCACCGCAUUGAGCAGACCGUUGAAGUGAAAUGAGUCGUACGUUCUGGACAGUGUGAACAACUUGAAAACGUCAGGAAGACUUAAAACUUGGGCAAUCGUCUGUGCUGCUUUUUUUUUUAUUGCUGGCUGUUCCUUGACUCUUGGUGUUCUUGUUGCGGUUUGUCAGAGGCGAUUACAGGUUCAGGGGUUUUCUUGCAUCAGCAGCAAGCACACAUUCAGCGUUUAGCUUUUUUAACCAGGAAGGUUUUGUGAUGCAGAAAGUCUUUGUUUUGGACAGUGUAUUGAACUUUUGAUAAAUAUAUUUCUCGAGAAAUGCUGCAAGGGUGAAUGUAUUUCCCUUAAUGGAAAAUAAAAUAAGUUGGACAUUUUACUGAAGGACAGACGUCAGUGCACAGUAUUUAAAAUUCAGUUAGACAGUCAGUGUGGCCUGUUAAACAAUUUAUAGGAUCACCAUUUCAAAGCAUUUUUAUGGGCAGUUGUACAGAAAAAAGAAGAUAUCUAGAAGUACGUAUCAA